GGUUGUAUGGUCCAAUGGUUACGACGUCAGAUUCUGAUCGAAUCUAUGCAGCACAUGCAUGACAUUCUGAAGACCGUGGUUCGAUUCCGCGUACGACCU
Non-coding RNA from Tilletiopsis washingtonensis, 99 nucleotides. NCBI's taxonomy places the organism in Eukaryota, Fungi, Basidiomycota, Exobasidiomycetes, Entylomatales. The record is from the annotation of a RefSeq genome assembly.